UACGUAGGCAGUGAGCGUUGUUCGGAGUUACUGGGCGUAAAGAGUGCGUAGGCGGUUUUCUAAGUUUGGUGUGAAGUCUCCCGGCUUAACUGGGAGGGUGCGCCGAAGACUGGAAGGCUUGAGUAUGGGAGAGGUAAGCGGAAUUCCUGGUGUAGCGGUGAAAUGCGUAGAUAUCAGGAGGAACACCUGCGGUGUAGACGGCUUACUGGACCAUCACUGACGCUGAGGCACGAAAGCGUGGGUAGCAAACAGG
Molecule: ribosomal RNA, 253 nt
Filed under: uncultured bacterium
Lineage: Bacteria
Description: partial 16S ribosomal RNA
Rfam family: Bacterial small subunit ribosomal RNA
Source: RNAcentral